UGUAGGGUGACGUUGAAACUAGGAUACCUGGCUCUCACCCAGGAGACCCGGGUUCGAUUCCCGGUGCUACAA
This 72-nucleotide transfer RNA is filed under the name Cordylochernes scorpioides. Its description in RNAcentral is "tRNA-Ser". It matches the Rfam family "tRNA". Rfam says of the family: Transfer RNA (tRNA) molecules are approximately 80 nucleotides in length. Their secondary structure includes four short double-helical elements and three loops (D, anti-codon, and T loops). Further hydrogen bonds mediate the characteristic L-shaped molecular structure. tRNAs have two regions of fundamental functional importance: the anti-codon, which is responsible for specific mRNA codon recognition, and the 3' end, to which the tRNAs corresponding amino acid is attached (by aminoacyl-tRNA synthetases). tRNAs cope with the degeneracy of the genetic code in two manners: having more than one tRNA (with a specific anti-codon) for a particular amino acid; and 'wobble' base-pairing, i.e. permitting non-standard base-pairing at the 3rd anti-codon position. The record is from RNAcentral. Lineage: Eukaryota; Metazoa; Arthropoda; Arachnida; Pseudoscorpiones; Chernetidae.